GAAACCUUUCAGGUGUUAAAGGGAAAGCGAAAGUGAAAGAUAAGAUUGCAUUUUGAAUUAUUUACUCUCUCAUCAGUCUCAAGAUUUUCACAAAUUGAGUAUCCGGAUAGCACUUUUAGGAAUCACAGCUAUAACAGGUGGUAAGAAAUGGAUAUAGCAGUUUCAAAGUCCAAAUACUGUAUGGUUCCGAAGGAGGAUAUGGAUAGUUUUCUGAAUUACCUAAAAGCCUCCCUGAGGCAAGCAGAAGACGUGAAAAGCCAUAUAUUCAAAACUCACCCUUCUUUAGACGAAAUGUCGUUAGAA
Molecule: long non-coding RNA, 303 nt
Organism: Stegodyphus dumicola
Lineage: Eukaryota; Metazoa; Arthropoda; Arachnida; Araneae; Eresidae
Source: RefSeq, a predicted model, not a curated record